AACGAACGCUGGCGGCAUGCCUAACACAUGCAAGUCGAACGAGACCUUCGGGUCUAGUGGCGCACGGGUGCGUAACGCGUGGGAACCUGCCCUUAGGUUCGGAAUAACUCCCCGAAAGGGGUGCUAAUACCGGAUAAUGUCUUCGGACCAAAGAUUUAUCGCCUUUGGAUGGGCCCGCGUUGGAUUAGCUAGUUGGUAGGGUAAAAGCCUACCAAGGCGACGAUCCAUAGCUGGUCUGAGAGGAUGAUCAGCCACACUGGGACUGAGACACGGCCCAGACUCCGACGGGAGGCAGCAGUGGGGAAUAUUGGACAAUGGGCGAAAGCCUGAUCCAGCCAUGCCGCGUGAGUGAUGAAGGCCUUAGGGUUGUAAAGCUCUUUUACCCGGGAUGAUAAUGACAGUACCGGGAGAAUAAGCUCCGGCUAACUCCGU
RNAcentral lists this ribosomal RNA (432 nucleotides) under uncultured bacterium. Its description in RNAcentral is "partial 16S ribosomal RNA". It matches the Rfam family "Bacterial small subunit ribosomal RNA", at positions 29 to 506 of the family's 1533-position model. The record is from RNAcentral.